UCAUUUAGCCAUCCUUUAAGAAUGCUUAACCCACCAUGAAAGGCUGCAAUGGGAACCACCAAGGCCCUCUCCACCUGGAUGAGCAUUCCACAGUGGUGAUGGAGUUAAACUCUGAGGACCAAGCUUUGGGGAGGCAUCAUUUAUUUUCAGGCCUUUCCACUGGGCUUCAGCGAUCAACCAGUAAUACUGUGGACACACACUUCUAAUGGCCUAUGUUUUGAAACUGAGUCUAAUCUAAUGGCGUGGGGCCCAAACUCCUUUUCUAGCACAGCCAUUAAAGGAUGUAGGUUAUUGCUGUUGUCACCAUUGAUAUUUGUCAUUGUAAUGUAAUUAGGGCCCUAAAAUGAUGCAUUACAGCCCUUGGCACAGCUUCUAUUAAAAUCUUUUCUUCUGCUCACUGAA
Long non-coding RNA from Mus musculus (house mouse), 402 nucleotides. RefSeq annotates it as predicted gene, 31441. The record is from RefSeq and is a predicted model, not a curated record. NCBI's taxonomy places the organism in Eukaryota, Metazoa, Chordata, Mammalia, Rodentia, Muridae. The transcript is spliced from 2 exons.